GACGAAAUAGUUCAGUUGGUAGAACAUUGGAAUCAUAAACCAAAAGCCGAGAGUUCAAAUCUCUUUUUCGACA
Molecule: transfer RNA, 73 nt
Filed under: Entomoneis sp.
Lineage: Eukaryota; Bacillariophyta; Bacillariophyceae; Surirellales; Surirellaceae
Description: tRNA-Met
Rfam family: tRNA
About the family: Transfer RNA (tRNA) molecules are approximately 80 nucleotides in length. Their secondary structure includes four short double-helical elements and three loops (D, anti-codon, and T loops).
Source: RNAcentral